Molecule: long non-coding RNA, 645 nt
Filed under: Scleropages formosus (Asian bonytongue)
Lineage: Eukaryota; Metazoa; Chordata; Actinopteri; Osteoglossiformes; Osteoglossidae
Description: lncRNA (ENSSFOG00015032401.1)
Source: RNAcentral
GAGCGCGAGCCGUACCAGCUACAGCAGGCUGCCCGAACCCCAUGCUGGUUUGCUUUGGAGAGCGGAGAGGCAAUCAAUGUGUGCUCACAAAAGGGGAAGAGCAUUCAGAGAGCCAACUGUUCCCUCAGGCCAUGGGGCAGGAGCGGGGACAGAUAUGAAAAUAAUGUGCUGCUAGAUGGAGACGGGAAUAAGCCAACCUGCACGCUCAAGCAAAAUAUGAACCCGGGCCUGCCUGCCUUCUGCCUGCGUGAACGCGGCGUUGCGGCUACCCGUUGUCGGCGCUUUGGCGCGCACCCCUUGCCGCUCAGCCGACUUGUGUCGAGGGUCAAAACACAAACCAGAGAUCCUGAGGAACACGCUGAAGGCGGAGAACGCUGUUAGUGACAACAGAACAUCGGGUCUGAGCGCAAGGUCACGAGCAAAAUCGGAUUCAAACCGAGUCCGGAAGGGUCCCCUCCUGGCGGUCUUGCUCAGACUUCCAACGCGGAGGAGACCCUCGAGAACGAUUAGGCCGUAGCGCAGCCAGCUCCGCUCGCCCGACUCCGACACGACCGGAGGGAGUCCGACGCUUCGGACCGAGACGCUUUCAUUCGACGAAUUUCCCCCAAAAAUAAAACAGUGAGCUGGGAAAAAGAAAAAAAAAAA